This 260-nucleotide ribosomal RNA is filed under the name uncultured bacterium. Its description in RNAcentral is "partial 16S ribosomal RNA". It matches the Rfam family "Bacterial small subunit ribosomal RNA", at positions 794 to 1055 of the family's 1533-position model. The record is from RNAcentral.
GUCACGCCCUAACGAUGUCAACUGGUUGUUGGAGGGUUUCUUCUCAGUAACGAAGCUAACGCGUGAAGUUGACCGCCUGGGGAGUACGGCCGCAAGGUUGAAACUCAAAGGAAUUGACGGGACCGCACAAGCGGUGGAUGAUGUGGUUUAAUUCGAUGCAACGCGAAAAACCUUAACCUACCCUUGACAUGUCAAGAAUUCUGCAGAGAUGUGGAAGUGCUCGAAAGAGAACUUGAACACAGGUGCUGCAUGGCUGUCGU